RNAcentral lists this ribosomal RNA (1341 nucleotides) under uncultured bacterium. RNAcentral's name for it is "16S ribosomal RNA". It matches the Rfam family "Bacterial small subunit ribosomal RNA", at positions 28 to 1381 of the family's 1533-position model. The record is from RNAcentral.
GACGAACGCUGGCGGCGUGCUUAACACAUGCAAGUCGAGCGGUAAGGCUCCAGCUUGCUGGGGUACACGAGUGGCGAACGGGUGAGUAACACGUGGGUGACCUGCCCUGCACUUCGGGAUAAGCCAGGGAAACUGGGUCUAAUACCGGAUAGGACCGCACCGUGAGGGUGUGGUGGAAAGUUUUUUCGGUGUGGGAUGGGCCCGCGGCCUAUCAGCUUGUUGGUGGGGUAAUGGCCUACCAAGGCGGCGACGGGUAGCCGGCCUGAGAGGGUGGACGGCCACAUUGGGACUGAGACACGGCCCAGACUCCUACGGGAGGCAGCAGUGGGGAAUAUUGCACAAUGGGCGGAAGCCUGAUGCAGCGACGCCGCGUGGGGGAUGACGGCCUUCGGGUUGUAAACUCCUUUCACCAUCGACGAAGGGUUUCUGACGGUAGAUGGAGAAGAAGCACCGGCUAACUACGUGCCAGCAGCCGCGGUAAUACGUAGGGUGCGAGCGUUGUCCGGAAUUACUGGGCGUAAAGAGCUCGUAGGUGGUUUGUCGCGUCGUCUGUGAAAUUCCGGGGCUUAACUCCGGGCGUGCAGGCGAUACGGGCAUAACUUGAGUACUGUAGGGGAGACUGGAAUUCCUGGUGUAGCGGUGAAAUGCGCAGAUAUCAGGAGGAACACCGGUGGCGAAGGCGGGUCUCUGGGCAGUAACUGACGCUGAGGAGCGAAAGCAUGGGGAGCGAACAGGAUUAGAUACCCUGGUAGUCCAUGCCGUAAACGGUGGGCGCUAGGUGUGGGUUUCCUUCCACGGGAUCCGUGCCGUAGCUAACGCAUUAAGCGCCCCGCCUGGGGAGUACGGCCGCAAGGCUAAAACUCAAAGGAAUUGACGGGGGCCCGCACAAGCGGCGGAGCAUGUGGAUUAAUUCGAUGCAACGCGAAGAACCUUACCUGGGCUUGACAUAUACAGGAUCGCGCCAGAGAUGGUGUUUCCCUUGUGGCUUGUAUACAGGUGGUGCAUGGUUGUCGUCAGCUCGUGUCGUGAGAUGUUGGGUUAAGUCCCGCAACGAGCGCAACCCUUGUCUUAUGUUGCCAGCACGUUGUGGUGGGGACUCGUAAGAAACUGCCGGGGUUAACUCGGAGGAAGGUGGGGAUGACGUCAAAUCAUCAUGCCCCUUAUGUCCAGGGCUUCACACAUGCUACAAUGGUCGGUACAGUGGGUUGCCAGUCCGUGGGGGCGAGCUAAUCCCGCAAAGCCGGUCUCAGUUCGGAUCGGGGUCUGCAACUCGACCCCGUGAAGUCGGAGUCGCUAGUAAUCGCAGAUCAGCAACGCUGCGGUGAAUACGUUCCCGGGCCU